GGGGGGGGGGGGGGGGGGGGGGGGGGGGGGCGGGGCGGGGGCGGGGGCGGGGCUGUGGGGGGGGGGAGGAGUGGCGAACGGGUGGGUAACACGUGAGUAACCUGCCUCCUUCUUUGGGAUAACGCCCGGAAACGGGUGCUAAUACUGGAUAUUCACUGGUCUUCGCAUGGGGGUUGGUGGAAAGGGUUUUUCUGGUGGGGGAUGGGCUCGCGGCCUAUCAGCUUGUUGGUGGGGUGAUGGCCUACCAAGGCUUUGACGGGUAGCCGGCCUGAGAGGGUGACCGGUCACAUUGGGACUGAGAUACGGCCCAGACUCCUACGGGAGGCAGCAGUGGGGAAUAUUGCACAAUGGGCGCAAGCCUGAUGCAGCGACGCCGCGUGAGGGAUGGAGGCCUUCGGGUUGUGAACCUCUUUCGCUCAUGGUCAAGCCGCAACAAUGGUUGUGGUGAGGGUAGUGGGUAAAGAAGCGCCGGCUAACUACGUG
Molecule: ribosomal RNA, 483 nt
Filed under: uncultured bacterium
Lineage: Bacteria
Description: partial 16S ribosomal RNA
Rfam family: Bacterial small subunit ribosomal RNA
Source: RNAcentral